GACGAACGCUGGCGGCGUGCUUAACACAUGCCAGUCGAACGGAAAGGCCUGCUUUCCCUUGUGGAUUGCGGGUACUCGAGUGGCGAACGGGUGAGUAACACGUGAGUGAUCUGCCCCCAACUUGGGUAUAAGCCUGGGAAACUGGGUCUAAUUCCCGAUAGGACUGCAGGGUGGUGCCUGUGGUGGAAAACGAUUUUCUAGUGGUUGGGGAUGAGCUCGCGGCCUAUCAGCUUGUUGGUGGGGUAAUGGCCUACCAAGGCGGCGACGGGUAGCCGGCCUGGGAGGGUGGACGGCCACAUUGGGACUGGGACACGGCCCAGACUCCUACGGGAGGCAGCAGUGGGGAAGAUUGCACAAUGGGCGGAAGCCUGAUGCAGCGACGCCGCGUGGGGGAUGACGGCCUUCGGGUUGUAAACUCCUUUCGACCGCGAGGAAGCCACCUGGUUGGAAGGGUGGUGACGGUAGUGGUAGAAGAAGCACCGGCUAACUACGUG
Molecule: ribosomal RNA, 494 nt
Filed under: uncultured bacterium
Lineage: Bacteria
Description: partial 16S ribosomal RNA
Rfam family: Bacterial small subunit ribosomal RNA
Source: RNAcentral